Molecule: unclassified non-coding RNA, 224 nt
Filed under: Staphylococcus aureus
Lineage: Bacteria; Bacillati; Bacillota; Bacilli; Caryophanales; Staphylococcaceae
Description: T-box leader as predicted by Rfam
Source: RNAcentral
AUGGACAUUUAUAUAAAUAAUUGUUUUAGGGAGAAUAAUCGUGACUGCAAGUUAUUCCAAUUAUUUAAAGUCUUUUCACCUUUUUGGUUACUUAAAGAGAUUUAAGUCGGAAAGACAAUCCGUUAUCAAUAUUAAACAAGUGUAUGCUUAGGCAUAAAUUUGGGUGGUACCACGGAAAUGACUUUCGUCCCUUAUUUUUUAAGAGGAUGAAAGUCAUUUUUUAG